This 196-nucleotide unclassified non-coding RNA is filed under the name uncultured Elaphomyces. RNAcentral describes it as "sequence contains ITS2". The record is from RNAcentral. Lineage: Eukaryota; Fungi; Ascomycota; Eurotiomycetes; Eurotiales; Elaphomycetaceae.
CCAUCCCCUCAAGCUCCGCUUGGCUGGUUGGGCCUGACGUCCCCCCGUGGCUUUGCGCUGGGGGGAUGGGCCCGAAAGGCAGUGGCGGCUCCCGGCGGGUUUGGUCCCUUGGGGCGGUGAUACAUGGGUUGUCAUCUUCCACCGCUCUGUUGGCCACGCUCCGGGGGUUCCGUCGAACGAUUGGUCUUCCCCUUUA